This 137-nucleotide microRNA precursor is filed under the name Trichophyton rubrum BMU01672. Lineage: Eukaryota; Fungi; Ascomycota; Eurotiomycetes; Onygenales; Arthrodermataceae. The record is from RNAcentral.
GGAUCUUAGCUGGCUGGAUACAUGGAUGAACCACUGUACAUAUACCUUUACAUAUAUCCACGGCUGUACAUACUGCUCACAGCUUGAGCAAGCACAUUGCCAUCUACACACAAAAAUACCAGCGAUCUGUAGAUGAG